UACAGAGGUCCCAAGCGUUGUUCGGAUUCACUGGGCGUAAAGCGCGUGUAGGCGGUUCGAUAAGUCUGCUGUGAAAGUCCAGGGCUCAACCCUGGGAUGCCGGUGGAUACUGUCGAGCUAGAGUACGGAAGAGGCGAGUGGAAUUCCCAGUGUAGAGGUGAAAUUCGUAGAUAUUGGGAAGAACACCAGUGGCGAAGGCGGCUAACUGGUCCAGCACUGACGCUGAGGUGCGAAAGCGUGGGGAGCAAACAGG
This 253-nucleotide ribosomal RNA is filed under the name uncultured bacterium. RNAcentral describes it as "partial 16S ribosomal RNA". It matches the Rfam family "Bacterial small subunit ribosomal RNA", at positions 524 to 776 of the family's 1533-position model. The record is from RNAcentral.